RNAcentral lists this ribosomal RNA (445 nucleotides) under uncultured bacterium. RNAcentral describes it as "partial 16S ribosomal RNA". It matches the Rfam family "Bacterial small subunit ribosomal RNA", at positions 354 to 796 of the family's 1533-position model. The record is from RNAcentral.
GUGAGGAAUAUUGGUCAAUGGGCGAGAGCCUGAACCAGCCAAGUCGCGUGAAGGAAGAAGGAUCUAUGGUUCGUAAACUUCUUUUGCAGGGGAAUAAAGUGCAGGACGUGUUCUGUUUUGUAUGUACCCUGAGAAUAAGGAUCGGCUAACUCCGUGCCAGCAGCCGCGGUAAUACGGAGGAUCCGAGCGUUAUCCGGAUUUAUUGGGUUUAAAGGGUGCGUAGGUGGUUUGAUAAGUCAGAGGUGAAAGUUUGCAGCUUAACUGUAAAAAUGCCGUUGAAACUGUCGGACUUGAGUGUAAAUGAGGUAGGCGGAAUGCGUGGUGUAGCGGUGAAAUGCAUAGAUAUCACGCAGAACUCCGAUUGCGAAGGCAGCUUACUAAGCUACAACUGACACUGAAGCACGAAAGCGUGGGGAUCAAACAGGAUUAGAUACCCUAGUAGUCC